UAUGUUUACAUUAUACACUACGCUGCUACUACGAUUUUGGCAGUGAUUCAAAUCCUUGAUUAUGACGUCACGCUUCACAGUCUAGACGAUCUAGCCAGCCAGCCGGUUCAAACUGGAUUUCCUCAAAACAAUAACAAACCUGGAUUUUCUGAAAACAAAGAACACUAACACACAAUAACAAGGGAAUUUUUAUUCAGAAUGAAAAAAAUACAUUUACAUUUUCUUCUUCUUCUGUCCCUUAUCGGUCAUCAGGGGUAGUUUCCUCUUGGGUUCCUGAGGCUUUUUCUCCAGUUUUUGUAUUUCUUUGACAAAUUGUUGAUCCUCCUCAUUCUCUGUACACUGAUUAGCCCAAUGACCAGAUUUCCCGCACUUAUAGCACGAAUCCUGUUUUUUUCGGGGACAAUCUGGGGCCCAAUGCCCUAACUCUUUGCAGAUGAAGCAUGGAUCCACCUGUCUGGUUUUCUUUUUUUCUCCUGAUCCCCCUUCUUUUUCUGGAAAGUGCUUCCUCCUUUCAUUUUAGUAAUGUAACUUUUCAGAUCAGUCAGCUUGUUGUCAAUAUCACUCACCUUGUUGUCAAUACCAGACAGCAUGUUGACAAUUCCAUCCAGAGUUGUAUUCAAGAUGCCCAUAUCUUCUUUAUUCAUGUAUUCUUGAAAACUAUAGGGGGCUCCUACAUAUUCUUCAGGUGUCACAUAGCUGGGGUUGUCUGGGGUAUUCAUCAUUGCUUCUUCCAUAAUAUUUUUCACGUCUGUCAAGUUCGAAGUGUCAAGCAAGACUGAUUGUCAAAUUUUACAGUUUUUUGCUUUAUAUACCUGCUGUGGGGCGAGUGCACGUUUUACCUACGUUUUUUAUGCUGACUACACAGGUAAUACUUGGCAGCGAUUCAAGUUUGUUAAGGGCCGUGUGCAAAAAAUAUGCUGACUACACAGGUAAAUACUUGGCAGCGAUUCAAGUCAGGGGGGCCGUGUGCACCUUUGACCUACCUUUUUAUACCUGUUGCAUCAUCUGUAAGGGGGGCCGUGUGCAAAAAUACGAUAGACCUACGUUUUUUAUGCUGACUACACAGGUAAAUACUUGGCAGCGAUUCAAGUCAGGGGGGCCGUAUGGGGAGACUAGCUACCAUACAUUUUCUAUGUCGACAUAUGAAAACAAUUCUGCCCCAGAAAUGGUACGGACUGAACCUGACCCGUUAUUUCGGAAAGCCUUACAGUUUCCUGACUCAUCCCCAAGCGGGCAAAGUGAUUUUACUGUGGCAGGACAUAGAAGCGAUGGAGAAAGUAUGUAUUCAAUACGGAAUGAAAUACCUGGAAAUUUCACACAGGCUAGGAAAUCCGUGACUUUUAAUACCAGCCUCAAUCAAAUCUACGAAUUACCCCCCCGAAGACCGGAGAAGUCCCUGGAUGCAAUUAGUAGCGGAUCGAAUACGAUUUCGGAGGAGAAUUCGACAGUUAGAAGCUUUGUUAGUUUUUAAGAAAUAAAAAUAAAAAAAAUCAUGUAAUACUACAUCAGUGUUAUGUUAUUUUUAUGACUUCAUCUUUUAUACAGUCGGGUUCGGCGGCCAUGGCGAAUCUCGGCAAGAUUUUACCCCAGUGAAAAAGGCUUGUAAUCCACCCUUCCUCAACCUGGAAGAUAUGUUUUGUUCCUAACCAUCUAUAAUCCAUUCUCUAUGAAGUGAAGCGUGCUGGCUGCUGGUCUUCCUUUGGAAAAUACACAGGGAAAGAAAAAAACUACUUGAGUGUUUCUGCCUCCCCCCAGAGAUCUGCUUAUGAGUGCAUGGGGAUUGCGGUGAACCUUCAUCUCCUGUUUAAAACAGACUUUAGAGUAUGACAGAUAAAAAGUAGAAUCCAUGACCCUCCAGGCAGGGAGGUGGCUCUGACUGUAGAAUGAGCUGAAAGUAGGAGAAAAGCAGUAUUUAUACAGUGGAUGACGUCACAAUGCAUAGGUAAGCAUAUUUUUUGCACACGGCCCUAAACAAACUUGAAUC
Molecule: long non-coding RNA, 1984 nt
Organism: Saccostrea cuccullata (small rock oyster)
Lineage: Eukaryota; Metazoa; Mollusca; Bivalvia; Ostreida; Ostreidae
Exons: 4
Source: RefSeq, a predicted model, not a curated record